This 253-nucleotide ribosomal RNA is filed under the name uncultured bacterium. RNAcentral's name for it is "partial 16S ribosomal RNA". It matches the Rfam family "Bacterial small subunit ribosomal RNA", at positions 524 to 776 of the family's 1533-position model. The record is from RNAcentral.
UACAGAGGGGGCAAGCGUUGUUCGGAAUUACUGGGCGUAAAGGGCGCGUAGGCGGCCCGCUAAGUCGAACGUGAAAUCCCCGGGCUUAACCCGGGAACUGCGUCCGAUACUGGUAGGCUUGAAUCCGGGAGAGGGAUGUGGAAUUCCAGGUGUAGCGGUGAAAUGCGUAGAUAUCUGGAGGAACACCGGUGGCGAAGGCGGCAUCCUGGACCGGUAUUGACGCUGAGGCGCGAAAGCUAGGGGAGCAAACGGG